GAUGAAGAACGCAGCGAAAUGCGAUAAGUAAUGUGAAUUGCAGAUUUCAGUGAAUCAUCGAAUCUUUGAACGCACCUUGCGCCUUGUGGUAUUCCACAAGGCAUGCCCGUUUGAGUAUCAUUAAAUCAUCAACUCUAAAACCUUUGUGGUUUUUUUUAGAGCUUGGUCUUGAGGGUUUUGCAGGCUUUUUUUUUUUUUCGAGUCUGCUCCCUUUAAAUGCAUUAGCGAGACUUCCCUAUGCUGAACCGUCUCUUUGACGUGAUAAUUAUCUGCGUCGAAUUUUGGUUCUCGUUGGGCUUGCUUCUAAUCGUCUGUUAAAGACAAAACGGAUUUGGGUGCAUAUAUGCGCCUUUUUCCAAAACCUUUUUUUGAUCUCAAAUCGGGUAGGACUACCCGCUGAACUUAAGCAUAUCAAUAAGCGGAGGA
RNAcentral lists this unclassified non-coding RNA (426 nucleotides) under soil metagenome. Its description in RNAcentral is "partial contains 5.8S ribosomal RNA, internal transcribed spacer 2, and large subunit ribosomal RNA". The stretch from base 1 to 120 matches the Rfam family "5.8S ribosomal RNA", at positions 35 to 154 of the family's 154-position model. The record is from RNAcentral.